AAAGGAAAAAAAGGGCUUCUGGAAGAGACUCACUCAUCUCUUCACUUCGAAGUCUAGUAGAGCUUCUGCUUUAGAGGACCAUGUCCCUGCUGCUGAGCAGCUAGAGGAGGACGUCACAGAAAAUGACAUCAUUUUAAGGCAAUACAAAAUUGGUGACAAGCUGGGCAAAGGUGGAUUCGGCUCAGUCUACAAAGCCACACGCCGCAGGGAUGGACUUGAGGUUGCUGUGAAAUAUGCUGUAAAGUCACCGAUGAUGAAGGAAAUGAAGGUG
Non-coding RNA from Danio rerio (zebrafish), 271 nucleotides. Lineage: Eukaryota; Metazoa; Chordata; Actinopteri; Cypriniformes; Danionidae. The record is from RefSeq and is a predicted model, not a curated record.